This 372-nucleotide ribosomal RNA is filed under the name uncultured bacterium. Its description in RNAcentral is "bacterial SSU rRNA". It matches the Rfam family "Bacterial small subunit ribosomal RNA", at positions 790 to 1167 of the family's 1533-position model. The record is from RNAcentral.
GUAGUCCACGCCCUAAACGAUGUCAACUAGUUGUUGGGGAUUCAUUUCCUUAGUAACGAAGCUAACGCGUGAAGUUGACCGCCUGGGGAGUACGGUCGCAAGAUUAAAACUCAAAGGAAUUGACGGGGACCCGCACAAGCGGUGGAUGAUGUGGAUUAAUUCGAUGCAACGCGAAAAACCUUACCUACCCUUGACAUGGCCGGAAUCCUGCUGAGAGGCGGGAGUGCUCGAAAGAGAAUCGGCGCACAGGUGCUGCAUGGCUGUCGUCAGCUCGUGUCGUGAGAUGUUGGGUUAAGUCCCGCAACGAGCGCAACCCUUGUCCUUAGUUGCUACGCAAGAGCACUCUAGGGAGACUGCCGGUGACAAACCGGA